Molecule: long non-coding RNA, 1470 nt
Organism: Entelurus aequoreus (snake pipefish)
Lineage: Eukaryota; Metazoa; Chordata; Actinopteri; Syngnathiformes; Syngnathidae
Exons: 4
Source: RefSeq, a predicted model, not a curated record
GACUGAUCCAACCUGGGGGCUGCUGUAAGAGGGGGGCGAGGGGGACAACCUGUCUGCACAAGAGCAGAAGGAACAUCAGCAGCACGUCCGCCUGGUCCUUCAGCGCCUCCUCGAGAACAGUUUAUUCGUCAAGGCAGAGAAAUGUGAGUUCGAUUCAUCAUCGGUAAACUUCCUGGGUCACAUCAUCGAGAGGGGUAUCAUCCGAGCCGACCCCAAGAAGGUCAAGGCAGUGGUGGAGUGACCUCAACCAACCACUCGUACUGAGCUUAGGAGAUUCCUAGGCUUUGCAGGAUUCUACCGGCGCUUCAUUCUCAACUUCAGCAAGGUAGCCGCGCCUCUCCACGCGCUUACAUCUACCAUUAAAGUUUUCGUUUGGAACAAGGAGGCGGACAGUGCAUUCCAGAGCCUCUAGAGGAGCUUCAGUUCCGCUCCAAUCUUGGUACACCCUGACCCUGACAAGUCGUUCACUGUGGAGACGCCUAUCCCCAGCCGAAAGGAACUACGAUGCAGGGAACAGAGAACUGUUGGCCGUCCACGAAGCGUUGGUCGAAUGGAGACACUGGUUGGAGGGGACCAAGCAUCCGUUCCUGGUCCUGACCGACCACCGUAAACUCAUCCACAUCCGUUCCGCUAAAAGACUUAAUGACAGGCAAGCACGCUGGACACAGUUUUUUGCCUGAUUUGACUACACUCUCACCUACAGACCCGGUUCACGCAAUGGCAAGGCAGACGCUCUUUCGCGGAUGUUCUCAGAGGAACCCACCGUUAGAUCUACUACUGAGACCAUCCUUCCCCCGAACUGCAUCUUCGCGACAAGCGCACCACGGGCCACGGCUACGGGCGUUCCCUCUACCCUGCGAGCGCGCCUCCACGCGGCUGCAUGAUAUCUGCAAACUACCAGCCUUCAUAAACCAGCGCGUCUUGAGAUCCAAUGCCAGAAGCUUCCUGUCGCCCUUCCUUGUCGUCAAGCUGUGUGUCUCGUUUCCCUGGACCCCUUGUGGAUUUCCCCUUGCCUUCCUGGACUUCGACCUCACGCCUGCCCACUGACCACGACGCCUCGCUCCUGUCCUCGACCAUCCGCCUGCCUUCCGACUCUCAAGCCUGCCUUGCCCUUAUUGGACUUCCGCCUCGAUCUCAACACGCACCCUCAACACCCUCUGUAAAUCAACGCUUAGAUAAUACUCACACCAGUGACGUGCGGUGAGGUUCAUGGCUGGUGAAGCACUGACUUCAUCACAGUCAGAUUUACAAACAUAUCAACCCUAAAGAGUAUCUUAUUCACCAUUUGAUUGGCAGCAGUUAACGGUUUAUGUUUAAAAGCUCAUACCAGCAUUCUUUACACUUACAAACUGUCGCACACAAAAAAGCACAUUUAAUUAAAAAAACUUUAUUAUGGUCUUACCUUUACUUAUAAAUUAAUCCACACAGCCAGCCUUUUCAUGUGUACCACGCCGUUUGAAAAGAACGGGU